CCUACGGGCGGCUGCAGUAGGGAAUCUUCCACAAUGGACGAAAGUCUGAUGGAGCAACGCCGCGUGUGUGAUGAAGGGUUUCGGCUCGUAAAACACUGUUGUAAGAGAAGAAUGACAUUGAGAGUAACUGUUCAGUGUGUGACGGUAUCUUACCAGAAAGGAACGGCUAAAUACGUGCCAGCAGCCGCGGUAAUACGUAUGUUCCAAGCGUUAUCCGGAUUUAUUGGGCGUAAAGCGAGCGCAGACGGUUGUGUAGGGCCGAGGUGAGAGCGCGGGGGUUAGCUGUGGAAGUGCGUUGGAAACUGGAGAAGUGGAGUGCAGUAGAGGGGAGUGGAACUCGAGGUGUAGCGGUGAAAUGCGUAGAUAUAUGGAGGAACAGCAGUGGCGAAGGCGGCUCUCUGGACUGUAGCUGACGUUGAGGCUCGAAAGUGUGGGUAGCAAACAGGAUUAGAUACCCUGGUAGUC
RNAcentral lists this ribosomal RNA (465 nucleotides) under uncultured Weissella sp. RNAcentral describes it as "bacterial SSU rRNA". It matches the Rfam family "Bacterial small subunit ribosomal RNA", at positions 338 to 795 of the family's 1533-position model. The record is from RNAcentral. Lineage: Bacteria; Bacillati; Bacillota; Bacilli; Lactobacillales; Lactobacillaceae.